Platichthys flesus (European flounder) is the source of this 1686-nucleotide long non-coding RNA. RefSeq lists it as uncharacterized. Lineage: Eukaryota; Metazoa; Chordata; Actinopteri; Pleuronectiformes; Pleuronectidae. The transcript has 3 exons. The record is from RefSeq and is a predicted model, not a curated record.
AGGGCCAGCAUGCCAGCUCGCAGCUCUCAGGAGGAAGCUGAAAAAUGCAUCUCCAAAAUCAGGCCAAGUGUCGACUCCCUCCCCCCUGUGCAGAUCACAAAGGAGACACAAAAUGAGAGAGGCAGAAGAUGAAAAUUAGAGUCACCGAGUCCUCCGGAGAUUAGAGCGCUGUAUGGGUCACACUGUACACGGCCGGUGCGCUGCGGAUGAGGGGAGAGAUGAGCCCCACUGUGCCCUGGCCUCAAACAACAAAACGACACCACCACACAUCCUCCUACUGGUGGCUACGCCGAGCCGAGCGGCCCUGCUCCUCGCCAGCGUAUAGCCACACCCAGUGUAACCCUUGUUGUAAUGUGACAGCUGAGGAAUUUGCCGCAGGUUAGCCACAAAUACUUGCAGCCUGAGUCCGGGAUGCUCGCACGUCACCGGUGGUGUAAAUGACAGGAAAAUUGCUGGGAGUCCGGCCUGCUGCAGCUUUUUGGACAGUUGCAGAUGCUCAAAUAAACAUUUUUGAGAUACUUGCAUUAGUAAACAGAUUCUCUGAAACUCAAAGAUUUUGCAUAAUUUGACUGUGAGAUAGUUAGGACUGGUUUUCAUUUGAAUGCUUUUAGAGGAAUAUUUACUGUAGCAUGUUGUCACUUGUAUCAGGAAAUAUGAGUUGUUGUUGCCUGAGGUGGUUCAGAUACAAAUUCUGUAAAGAAAACUGAAAACAUAUUUACUUAACAAGAACAAAUUCAUGUUCAAUGUGUGAAUAGAACAGCACUUCGACACAUUGGAAGCCACAUGACCAUAAGGUCUGUGAACCGAUGUUGUGCAGUUGAGUCUGGAAAGUUUGAGCUUCAUGCAUUUUAAAGUUGCUUGAUUUUACACUUCCUCCAUUUUCUUCAGGUUAACUCAAAACGACUUGUACAUGUACUGCGUGUUAAACCUAAAACAUUGUUUGAGAACAUGUCUCCUCAUACUUUCUGAUGACCUUGGCAUUAACCAGUUGAUCAGCUCAGAUUUACACCAGCAUUUAAUCUACUAAAUCUACUAAAGCUGAAAGCUCAACAAUCUGCCCUUGUGGAAACCUGGCACACACAGAACAGAAAAGAAGUUUCGGGAUGUAUUGCAUUUUAACUCCACUGCAUUCAAUAUUAUUGAAAUGUAUUUUAACUCUACAGGUGCAGCAUACUUAUUUGAUAUGAGUUCAAAGAAGGUAUAUGAAUUGUUCUGUGUUAUAAUUGUUCUGCUUCUCUUCAAUUAAUUCUCUCUUCUCAUGUCCUGAAUUGGAAAUUGGGUUAUGUUGCUGAAUGUAAGACAUCAUUUCUCUCUUCAUUGGAUUUUCAUUUUUGUCUUGUCGUGCUUUCAAGGUUCUUAUUGACCUCCUCUUGCAUUGUGCAUUUUCCGAUUCUGCAGAAUGUCAGUCCUGCGAGCUCUGACACGCCACAUGUGGCUCACUGUCCAUUAUCAGGCCAUCAAUAUCUAUUGAGUGAUGGGCUAAAAGCAGACACAAACUGAUGAAUCUCUGUCAAACCUUUUUCAGAUACUAUUUGAUGUGCUUUUUUUGUGAUCAACAAUUGCACAAACAUACAAUGCUUUUCCAGGGCUGUUUAAUUAGAUUUUACUGCAAAUAAGUGUCAACAUUAAAUAAACACUAAAGUGGGUAUAAUAUCAUGAUCAGAAAGGUCACAAUAGGUGAGCAUU